RNAcentral lists this long non-coding RNA (203 nucleotides) under Mytilus galloprovincialis (Mediterranean mussel). Lineage: Eukaryota; Metazoa; Mollusca; Bivalvia; Mytilida; Mytilidae. The record is from RNAcentral.
GGCGGAACUGUGAUGGUUCGUUUUAUGCAAACUUGCUGAGUUGAAAUCUCGUUUUCAUUGUUAACAAAUGCCGCAUUUAUCACUUUAUUGUUGAUGGUAAUUGUGGGAGUACUCAGGUUUAUCACUGCGCUCAGUGUGUCCAAAAUAUCUACCCUAAGUAUAACAUCGUCUGUUAAUGGCUCUUUGCACACAUCCAAUUGUAU